RNAcentral lists this ribosomal RNA (253 nucleotides) under uncultured bacterium. Its description in RNAcentral is "partial 16S ribosomal RNA". It matches the Rfam family "Bacterial small subunit ribosomal RNA", at positions 524 to 776 of the family's 1533-position model. RNAcentral also lists the same sequence under 1 other name. The record is from RNAcentral.
UACAGAGGGGGCAAGCGUUAUUCGGAAUUAUUGGGCGUAAAGGGCGCGUAGGCGGUGUUUUAAGUGGGAUGUGCAAUCCCCGGGCUUAACCUGGGAACUGCAUCCCAGACUGGAACGCUGGAGUACUGGAGAGGGUGGUGGAAUUCCACGUGUAGCGGUGAAAUGCGUAGAGAUGUGGAGGAACACCAGUGGCGAAGGCGGCCACCUGGACAGUAACUGACGCUGAGGCGCGAAAGUGUGGGUAGCAAACAGG